RNAcentral lists this non-coding RNA (99 nucleotides) under pig gut metagenome. RNAcentral's name for it is "Glycine riboswitch". It matches the Rfam family "Glycine riboswitch aptamer", at positions 7 to 88 of the family's 94-position model. Rfam says of the family: This family represents the bacterial glycine riboswitch. Glycine riboswitches usually consist of two metabolite-binding aptamers domains with similar structures in tandem. The record is from RNAcentral.
CAUUACUCUGGAGAGUCUCUGUGGGGUGGAGCCCACAAAGCGCCGAAGGUGUACGGCAGUCUGCAUGACUGUUAAUCUCUCAGGCAAAAGGACAGAGCA